This 373-nucleotide long non-coding RNA is filed under the name Mytilus galloprovincialis (Mediterranean mussel). The record is from RNAcentral. Lineage: Eukaryota; Metazoa; Mollusca; Bivalvia; Mytilida; Mytilidae.
UAGGGAAAAAAACUUUGGCCAUUGAUCAUUUGUAUUUUUUCUAUGCAUUGACUUCGUGUGAGAUAAGGUCCUGUGCACGUUUACUCCAUAUUCUUUUUUACUGUUUAAGAGUCUAAACAUGACUUCAUGCAAGUUUAAUCCUUCAAUGUAAAAGGUCAUAUGGCAAUACAUUGACUUUUUUAAAGAUGAUUUGAUACCGGGAAAUUGGUGGUCUUACUUUAAUUUAAACCAUGUCAGCUAUCUAGUUUCAUCUACAAAAAAGAGCCAGUUUUGUAUUCUUGAUAUCAAGUUCAAUUCUCCAUGCAGAAACGACAAUUUUUUUUAUGUCCAGUAGCAUCGUAUAUUCUUAAAAUAGUUUCUCGUACAAUGUCUG